RNAcentral lists this ribosomal RNA (500 nucleotides) under uncultured bacterium. Its description in RNAcentral is "partial 16S ribosomal RNA". It matches the Rfam family "Bacterial small subunit ribosomal RNA", at positions 899 to 1397 of the family's 1533-position model. The record is from RNAcentral.
ACUCAAAGGAAUAGACGGGGGCCCGCACAAGCGGUGGAGCAUGUGGUUUAAUUCGAUGCAACGCGAAGAACCUUACCUGGGCUUGACAUCCUCGGAAGCUUGUAGAGAUAUAAGCGUGCCUUCGGGAACCGAGAGACAGGUGCUGCAUGGCUGUCGUCAGCUCGUGUCGUGAGAUGUUGGGUUAAGUCCCGUAACGAGCGCAACCCUUGUCCUUAGUUGCUACCAGGUUAUGCUGAGCACUCUAAGGAGACUGCCGGUGACAAGCUGGAGGAAGGGAGGGACGAUGUCAAGUCAUCAUGGCCUUUAUGCCCAGGGCUACACACGUGCUACAAUGGUAGUUACAGAGGGAUGCCAAACCGCGAGGUGGAGCAAAUCCCAGAAAAGCUAUCAUAGUCCGGAUUGGAGUCUGCAACUCGACUCCAUGAAGCUGGAAUCGCUAGUAAUCGCGGAUCAGCAAUGCCGCGGUGAAUACGUUCACGGGCCUUGUACACACCGCCCGU